UGUGUGUGUGUAAGCGUUUGUGGUCAGGAUUUUUCCCCUCUGCAGAGGAAUAUUAAAAAUGCAUUUCUCUGCCUCUCUGACUCUCUGACUCUCACACCAGUGCUGGGAGGAGACAGCACAGAGAGCUGCAUGAUGCUGAAGGCUGAAAAUGCACUCCCUCUUACAAACCCAAACAGGAACAGUGCAGCAGACUUAGAGAGAUGUACAGAGAAAAAAAAGAUGGCAGCAGGGUGAGGAGUAUGAAAUGCAGCAGCAUAUGGAGUAUCUUAGAUGCCUUGUUGGUAGGUUUUGUGUGUGUGUGUGUGAGAGAGAGAGAAAGAGAAAGAGAAAAAGAGAGAGAAAGGGAGAGAGAGAGAAAUGAGAGCUAUUUAAUGAAGCUCUGUGGUCAUCUGUUCGGAUAAGCUGUUUAAGACUAAGCAAUGGGCCCUUUUCACAUUUCCGGGUUUGGAAUGCGGAAGUAAAAAAUAGCAGGGUAAACAACGCGUGUAGAACGUAUAGACGAAAUGGAGCAGCAUAGGAAAUGCUACUGCAGCGAGCCUUUCUGCUCAAAUAGCAAACGCAAACAACCAAACCUGAGUUUCCACGACUUUCCAAAUGUCACACGUUUACGCGGUAAAUAGAUAAGAGCAAUUAGGAGAGAGGAAAAUGCCACAUUUACGGUUCUGCGCGGCAGUACAUAUGCGUGUAGCCAGCACUUCAGGCCGGAUGAGCUAUAUGUCAAAGCGGGAGGGAACAGAGCCAGGAAUCAGUUUCACCACGAUUCGCCUGGAAUAAUUUUGGGAGUCGAUAUGAAAACCGCCUGACACCCUACGAGAGGGCAAGUACUCGUCUCGGUUUGAACACUGAAGCUGCCAUGGGACAGAGAGACGAGGAGGACCUGAAGCUAUGCUAACCGAGCCAAGCACGAUUACUGCCGUCCACCGUCUCCUGGCAAAGUGGACGCUGCAGCUGCACGAAUAAGGGAGCUGGAGCAAAAAGUGAUUGAGCUGGAGAAUUAAAUAAAACAGCUUGCAGACCAACCUAGGCUUAACCAUUUCUGCUCAACUAAAGAAGAGUUCCACUUUUUCCACACAAUUUCCCUUGACUCAGUACAAAAUUCUGUCUAAAUAUUUUAGCUUUAACUUACCAUGUGAGCUUCAUUUGUUUUUUGUAUUUUUAGAUUUUUUAAAUUUGAGUGUUUUAUAAAUAUAAUAAAUGAAAUACAUUUUAA
This is a long non-coding RNA of Astyanax mexicanus (Mexican tetra), 1210 nucleotides long. RefSeq lists it as uncharacterized. The transcript is spliced from 2 exons. NCBI's taxonomy places the organism in Eukaryota, Metazoa, Chordata, Actinopteri, Characiformes, Acestrorhamphidae. The record is from RefSeq and is a predicted model, not a curated record.